GGUUAGCUUAGUCGGUAGAGCGCUCCACUGGAAAUGGAGAGGUCCCUGGUUCGAGCUUGCCCG
This 63-nucleotide transfer RNA is filed under the name Ixodes scapularis (black-legged tick). RNAcentral describes it as "tRNA-Ser". Lineage: Eukaryota; Metazoa; Arthropoda; Arachnida; Ixodida; Ixodidae. The record is from RNAcentral.